GACGAACGCUGGCGGCGUGCCUAAUACAUGCAAGUCGAACGCUGAAGAGAGGAGCUUGCUCUUCUUGGAUGAGUUGCGAACGGGUGAGUAACGCGUAGGUAACCUGCCUUGUAGCGGGGGAUAACUAUUGGAAACGAUAGCUAAUACCGCAUAACCAUGGAUGACACAUGUCAUUUAUUUGAAAGGGGCAAUUGCUCCACUACAAGAUGGACCUGCGUUGUAUUAGCUAGUAGGUGAGGUAACGGCUCACCUAGGCGACGAUACAUAGCCGACCUGAGAGGGUGAUCGGCCACACUGGGACUGAGACACGGCCCAGACUCCUACGGGAGGCAGCAGUAGGGAAUCUUCGGCAAUGGGGGCAACCCUGACCGAGCAACGCCGCGUGAGUGAAGAAGGGUUUCGGAUCGUAAAGCUCUGUUGUAAGUCAAGAACGAGUGUGAGAGUGGAAAGUUCACACUGUGACGGUAGCUUACCAGAAAGGGACGGCUAACUACGUG
Molecule: ribosomal RNA, 497 nt
Filed under: uncultured bacterium
Lineage: Bacteria
Description: partial 16S ribosomal RNA
Rfam family: Bacterial small subunit ribosomal RNA
Source: RNAcentral